CCUGACUGCUAUCGGAUUGAUACUAAGCCAUGCGAGUCUUUGUAGUAAUACAAGGCAGACGGCUCAGUAACACGUAGUCAACCUACCCUAUGGACAAGAAUAAUCUCGGGAAACUGGGCAUAAUUCUUGAUAGAUCAUAAUGCCUGGAAUGGUUUAUGGUUAAAAUGAUUCGUCGCCAUAGGAUGGGACUGCGGCCUAUCAGCUUGUUGGUGAGGUAAUGGCCCACCAAGGCGAUUACAGGUACGGGCUCUGAGAGGAGAAGCCCGGAGAUGGUACUGAGACACGGACCCAGGCCUAUGGGCGCAGCAGGCGAGAAACUUUGCAAUGUGCGAAAGCACGACAAGGUUAAUCCGAGUGAUUUCUGCUAAAGAAAUCUUUUGCCAGUCAUAAAACCACUGGUGAAUAAGGGGUGGGCAAGUUCUGGUGUCAGCCGCCGCGGUAAAACCAGCACCUCAAGUUGUCAGGAUGAUUAUUGGGCCUAAAGCAUCCGUAGCCGGCUUUGUUAGUUUUCGGUUAAAUCCAUGUGCUCAACGCAUGGGCUGCCGAAAAUACUGCAGGGCUAGGGAGUGGGAGAGGUAGACGGUACUCAGUAGGAAGGGGUAAAAUCCUUUGAUCUAUUGAUGACCACCUGUGGCGAAGGCGGUCUACCAGAACACGUUCGACGGUGAGGGAUGAAAGCUGGGGGAGCAAACCGGAUUAGAUACCCGGGUAGUCCCAGCUGUAAACGAUGCAGACUCGAUGAUGCAUCGGCAUAUAGCCAGUGCAGUGUCGCAGGGAAGCCGUUAAGUCUGCCGCCUGGGAAGUACGUACGCAAGUAUGAAACUUAAAGGAAUUGGCGGGGGAGCACCACAAGGGGUGAAGCCUGCGGUUC
RNAcentral lists this ribosomal RNA (871 nucleotides) under uncultured archaeon. RNAcentral's name for it is "bacterial SSU rRNA". It matches the Rfam family "Archaeal small subunit ribosomal RNA", at positions 21 to 903 of the family's 1478-position model. The record is from RNAcentral.